RNAcentral lists this ribosomal RNA (253 nucleotides) under uncultured bacterium. RNAcentral describes it as "partial 16S ribosomal RNA". It matches the Rfam family "Bacterial small subunit ribosomal RNA", at positions 524 to 776 of the family's 1533-position model. The record is from RNAcentral.
UACAGAGGGGGCAAGCGUUGUUCGGAAUUACUGGGCGUAAAGGGCGCGUAGGCGGCCUGUUAAGUCGAACGUGAAAUCCCCGGGCUCAACCCGGGAACUGCGUCCGAAACUGGCAGGCUCGAAUUCGGGAGAGGGAUGCGGAAUUCCAGGUGUAGCGGUGAAAUGCGUAGAUAUCUGGAGGAACAUCGGUGGCGAAGGCGGCAUCCUGGACCGGCAUUGACGCUGAGGCGCGAAAGCCAGGGGAGCAAACGGG